UGUGAAUUUUUUUUUGUGAAAAUCUUUUCCAAAAUUUUCAAAACAGAGCUACUUUUUUUUAUUAUUUUUUUGAAAAUUUCAGUCCGUUAACCGGUUAACGGAAUAGGUUAACCGGUUAACGCCUCCCAGAAAGCAGUUCUGCGCUAAUUUUAAAAGACAAAAUAUUUAAAGUUUUUAAUUUUAAAUUAUGGUAUGCGUGUAUGCUUGUAUGCUUU
This 215-nucleotide long non-coding RNA is filed under the name Lathyrus oleraceus (garden pea). Its description in RNAcentral is "Pisum sativum (pea) long non-coding RNA (PSAT_LNC020698)". The record is from RNAcentral. Lineage: Eukaryota; Viridiplantae; Streptophyta; Magnoliopsida; Fabales; Fabaceae.